Molecule: long non-coding RNA, 2043 nt
Filed under: Homo sapiens (human)
Lineage: Eukaryota; Metazoa; Chordata; Mammalia; Primates; Hominidae
Description: HSALNT0214340
Source: RNAcentral
CCUGCACAAGCUCUUUUGCCUACCACCAUGUAAGAUGUGACUUUGCUUCUCCUUUGCCUUCUGCCAUGACUGUGAGGCCUCCCCAGCCAUGUGAAACUGUGUUUCCAAGGGAAAGCAUGUGGCAUUUCACCUGAGUUAUGUAUUGUUUCAAACAUCCAGUGGAGGGUUUCUGGUAUCUCUCUUGAACUCUGGUGUUUUUACAAGAGGCACACAAAAGAGAGACACAGAGAGAAGAUGAGAAGACUGAGGCAGACAUUGGAAUGACGCAACCAGGAGCCAAGGAAUGCCUGGAUCCAUGGGAAGCAGAAGAGGCUUUCUCACCAUGUGAUGCAUUCUGCUAUGUUAUGAUACAGCAAGAAGGGCCUCACAAGAUGUGACCUCUUGUUCUUGGACUUCUCAGCCUCCAGAAUCAUGAGAGGGAGUGAGAGAAGUCAAACCUCUACCAGACUAGACAGAAUUUGCAUGUCUAUCUCUUACCUCCCCUCUUUGAGCCGAAGGACUAGAGGAACAAAAGACUCAGCCCCAAGGUUAUCCGCUGCUGCUGCCCCCGAGACAGUAAGACCGACUCCUCCUCUUUCUCCUCCUCUUCAUCCUACUCUAUGUGAAGACAAGAAUGAAGAUCUUUGUGACGAUCCACUUCCAGUGAAUGAUUACUAAGAGUAUCCACGUGACCUGGACCUGGGUGAGUGGGUCCUAGAAAAAUUUUUGCUUUCUUGCUACUCUUCCUUCUUCUCACUGGAAUGUAAAUGUAAAGGGUGGAGCUGCAGCAGCCAUCUUGCUAUCACAAAAGAAAGACUGAGAGAACAGCAGAAGAGUUGACCUUAAUGUUGUUGAACCACUGAAUCAACGCUGUAAACAAUCUAUCUCCAAAAUUCUUGGUAUGUGAGAAACUAAACUACUGUUUAUUUAAGUUGGGUUGUCUGUUAAGUGCAGCUGAAUGUCUUCCUAAUUGAUACAGAAAUGCAUUUAAAAAAUAGCAUGCACACUUUUUAGUAUGAGCUAAGAAAAUGAGUAAGAACACAGCACAUUGAACCCAAUUUUGCAUUUGCAAUCCCCAAAGAACCCUGGUACACUUUUGUAGAAUAUUAAUGUGAAACCUAAGUUUGGGGAAUGUCUCUGAUGAGAAGUUGGGAAACAGAAAUAGAUGAGACCUAUCUAUGGUGCAAAGAUAAAUUUUGGUUAGAAAGAAAAGAGCAAGAACAUGCACAAAAAUGUGUGGCAGAACCAGGCUGUGGGCAGGAACCAGAGGAGCUGUCUACUAUGGUUGUAUUUAAUAUGACUGCUGAGGACAAAGCUCUGAUUUUUUUAUCUGGCCCAAAUUCCUAUCUAAGGUGUCUGGAGAGUCAUGCCUUACAAACCAUACAUUCUCAUCAGAUGGGUUUUAUUUAACCCCAUAUAUUGUGACUUUCCAAUCUGACUCUGGCAUAAUAUUAUGUGACAAAAAAGAAAGUCAAAAUAUUUUACUCCAAAACAUCUUUCUUUGUCUUAUUUUGAAAUGGCCCUGCAAAUGUGUCCUUUGUGGGGGGAAAUUUAUACCUGUAAAGAAUCUCUAUUAACAUAGCUAUAUCUUUUUCUUCCUGGCCCUCCCAAUCCUAAAGAGAUUGAGUAAGAGUCUAGCACCUUUUAAAGGUCUGAAUAGGAAACAUUUGUCAUCUAUUCCCCCGAAGAACAGCCACUGUAAGACUUCAAAAGAACUGUGGUCUGCACAAUCUUUUAUCUUAACCUGAACAUUUCUUUUCUAUGGAACCCAGGUCUUUAGACAAACUCAACCAAUUGUCAACCAGAAAAUGUUUAAAUGUUUCUAUAGCCUGGAAGCCGCCUCCUCCCCACCACCAUCCCAUUCCACUUUGAGUUGUCUGGUUUUUCUAGACCAAACCAAUGUAUUUCUUAAAUGUAUUUGUUUGAUGUCUCAUGCCUCCCUAAAAUGUACAAAACCAAGCUGUGUCCAACCACCUUGGGCACAUGUCCUCAGGACCUUCUGAGGGCUGUGUCACCAGAUGUGGUCAUUCAUAUUUGGCUCAGAAUAAAUCUCUUCAAAUAUUU